GGAGGGGUGGCAGAGCGGACUAAUGCGCUGGUCUUGAAAACCAGUGAUGCGCAAGCAUCCGGGGGUUCGAAUCCCCCUCCCUCCG
RNAcentral lists this transfer RNA (85 nucleotides) under Acidimicrobiales bacterium. RNAcentral describes it as "tRNA-Ser". It matches the Rfam family "tRNA". Rfam says of the family: Transfer RNA (tRNA) molecules are approximately 80 nucleotides in length. Their secondary structure includes four short double-helical elements and three loops (D, anti-codon, and T loops). Further hydrogen bonds mediate the characteristic L-shaped molecular structure. tRNAs have two regions of fundamental functional importance: the anti-codon, which is responsible for specific mRNA codon recognition, and the 3' end, to which the tRNAs corresponding amino acid is attached (by aminoacyl-tRNA synthetases). tRNAs cope with the degeneracy of the genetic code in two manners: having more than one tRNA (with a specific anti-codon) for a particular amino acid; and 'wobble' base-pairing, i.e. permitting non-standard base-pairing at the 3rd anti-codon position. The record is from RNAcentral. Lineage: Bacteria; Bacillati; Actinomycetota; Acidimicrobiia; Acidimicrobiales.